CAGAGGUCCCGAGCGUUGUUCGGAUUCACUGGGCGUAAAGGGUGCGUAGGUGGCUACUGAAAGUUUGAUGUGAAAUCUCCGGGCUUAACCCGGAAAUGCAUUGAAUACUGCGGAGCUGGAGGGUUGGAGGGGGGACUGGAAUUCUCGGUGUAGCAGUGAAAUGCGUAGAUAUCGAGAGGAACACCAGUGGCGAAGGCGAGUCCCUGGACAACACCUGACACUGAGGCACGAAAGCUAGGGGGAGCAAACAGGAUUAGAUACCCUGGUAGUCCUAGCCCUAAACGGUGCGCGUUUGCUGUAGGAGGAAUCGACCCUUCUGUGGCGAAGCUAACGCGAUAAACGCGCCGCCUGGGGAUACGGUCGCAAGAUUA
This 371-nucleotide ribosomal RNA is filed under the name uncultured organism. RNAcentral describes it as "bacterial SSU rRNA". It matches the Rfam family "Bacterial small subunit ribosomal RNA", at positions 526 to 896 of the family's 1533-position model. The record is from RNAcentral.